AACGCACAUUGCGCCUAUUAGUAUUCUAAUAGGCAUGCCUGUUCGAGCGUCAUUUCAACCCUUAAGCCCUGCUUAGUGUUGGGAGUCUACACCUGGGCGGACCUACCCUGUAGUGCCGUCCUCGUAGCUCCUCAAAUUUAGCGGCGGAGUUGUAGUAUCCUCUGAGCGUAGUAAUUAUCAUCUCGCUUUUGUUAGGUGCUACGGCCCUUGCCGUUAAACCCCCUAUUUUUUUGUGGUUGACCUCGGAUCAGGUAGGAAUACCCGCUGAACUUAA
RNAcentral lists this unclassified non-coding RNA (274 nucleotides) under uncultured Xylariales. Its description in RNAcentral is "sequence contains 5.8S rRNA gene, ITS2, 28S rRNA gene". The stretch from base 1 to 52 matches the Rfam family "5.8S ribosomal RNA", at positions 103 to 154 of the family's 154-position model. Lineage: Eukaryota; Fungi; Ascomycota; Sordariomycetes; Xylariales. The record is from RNAcentral.